CAGUCGCCGCGGUAAUACGAAGGGUGAAAGCGUUAAUCGGAAUUACUGGGCGUAAAGCGCGCGUAGGUGGUUUGGUAAGAUGGAUGUGAAAUCCCCGGGCUCAACCUGGGAACUGCAUCCAUAACUGCCUGACUAGAGUACGGUAGAGGGUGGUGGAAUUUCCUGUGUAGCGGUGAAAUGCGUAGAUAUAGGAAGGAACACCAGUGGCGAAGGCGACCACCUGGACUGAUACUGACACUGAGGUGCGAAAGCGUGGGGAGCAAACAGGAUUAGAUACCCCUGUAGUCCCUGUCUCUUAUAA
RNAcentral lists this ribosomal RNA (301 nucleotides) under uncultured bacterium. RNAcentral's name for it is "partial 16S ribosomal RNA". It matches the Rfam family "Bacterial small subunit ribosomal RNA", at positions 509 to 809 of the family's 1533-position model. The record is from RNAcentral.